UACUUUUGCUACUCGACCCGUGCCCGAGUACUCGUGGAGACCCUAUUACCUAAAUUUACAUUUUAUAUCACUGUUUAUUUAUAUGGUUGAUUAUCUUUAUUACCAAGAAUUUCUUUUAAAGUCAUACGCGCGCAUGUUGACAGAAUUCACUAUUUUGUUUGAAGUGAUCCGGAACUGGCGCUUCACCUGUAUUCUUCAAAGUUCAAGUGAUGAACAAACAUCAAUUUUAUGGAUACUAGAAUGAGUUUCUUGGAGUGCUAUAAUGUCAUAUUUCCUCAAAUAUGCUUGGAUCUCAGGGUUUUCCAGUUUUUUUUGCAAGUCCAUCAAUAUUCCAAGACAAAAAUGACAUUAAUUCAUGAUACAUAUCUAUGCUAGCUGGUUACAAAUAUAAUAUACAAUGAAAGACAUGCUAUGGUGAAGGUCAGCGGAUGUGACGUGAAACAAAAGAAACCAUGACAACGAGACCGGAACUAUAAAGGUUGAUGUACAAAAUUGAAAAUAACUAAACUCAUUCUGGAGGGUUGGUGGCCCUUAAAAGGGCCGAUGGCGGGUGACUAGCGAUACCAGUAGUAUUUCAUAUAGGUGACAUCAGCACAGCAAAUUACCCAGCAAAGCUUGCACCAAAUGUUGCGAGCCUUGCGUGUUUCCUUGACUUCAAUUUCAUCAAAACAAUCAAAAUUUAAAAAUUUUGAUGGACCUGGAACGGGGUCGUCCGGCUUCGAAGAAACCGCCCGUUCCGGCUUCGAUGAAACCUUCGGCAUUGGAUUGACACGAUUCUUCCGACUGAAGAACCUAGAAAUUUUCCGCACUGACAUAUCUUGAGAUUUGGAAUAAAUACAGAUAACGUAAUUGUUUCAGCACCGUCUUUAUAUACUGGUCGUGCGGACGUAACAGAAGCACAUCUGUCGAGUUCUAAAGACGUCUUGUCGUUGAUUAAUAACUGUGUUUUUGCGUCUCAGAUUAUAUUAUUUAAAACUUUAUUGACAUCAUGUUAGCUCCGAAAAAAUAUUAAAAAUAGUUUCCCAAUA
Molecule: long non-coding RNA, 1028 nt
Organism: Gigantopelta aegis
Lineage: Eukaryota; Metazoa; Mollusca; Gastropoda; Neomphalida; Peltospiridae
Exons: 2
Source: RefSeq, a predicted model, not a curated record